RNAcentral lists this ribosomal RNA (253 nucleotides) under uncultured bacterium. RNAcentral's name for it is "partial 16S ribosomal RNA". It matches the Rfam family "Bacterial small subunit ribosomal RNA", at positions 524 to 776 of the family's 1533-position model. The record is from RNAcentral.
UACGAAGGGGGCUAGCGUUAUUCGGAAUUACUGGGCGUAAAGCGCACGUAGGCGGAUAGUUAAGUCAGGGGUGAAAGCCCCCAGCUCAACUGCGGAACGGCCUUUGAUACUGGCUAGCUUGAGUAUGGUAGAGGUGGGUGGAAUUCCAGGUGUAGAGGUGAAAUUCGUAGAGAUCUGGAGGAACACCAGUGGCGAAGGCGGCUUCCUGGUCCAAUACUGACGCUGAGGUGCGAAAGCGUGGGGAGCAAACAGG